RNAcentral lists this ribosomal RNA (465 nucleotides) under Vreelandella stevensii. RNAcentral's name for it is "partial 16S ribosomal RNA". It matches the Rfam family "Bacterial small subunit ribosomal RNA", at positions 338 to 795 of the family's 1533-position model. Lineage: Bacteria; Pseudomonadati; Pseudomonadota; Gammaproteobacteria; Oceanospirillales; Halomonadaceae. The record is from RNAcentral.
CCUACGGGCGGCAGCAGUGGGGAAUAUUGGACAAUGGGCGAAAGCCUGAUCCAGCCAUGCCGCGUGUGUGAAGAAGGCCUUCGGGUUGUAAAGCACUUUCAGUGGGGAAGAAAGCCUUGGGGCUAAUACCCUCGAGGAAGGACAUCACCCACAGAAGAAGCACCGGCUAACUCCGUGCCAGCAGCCGCGGUAAUACGGAGGGUGCGAGCGUUAAUCGGAAUUACUGGGCGUAAAGCGCGCGUAGGCGGUCUGAUAAGCCGGUUGUGAAAGCCCCGGGCUCAACCUGGGAACGGCAUUCGGAACUGUCAGGCUAGAGUGCAGGAGAGGAAGGUAGAAUUCCCGGUGUAGCGGUGAAAUGCGUAGAGAUCGGGAGGAAUACCAGUGGCGAAGGCGGCCUUCUGGACUGACACUGACGCUGAGGUGCGAAAGCGUGGGUAGCAAACAGGAUUAGAUACCCCAGUAGUC